AUGCCAGGGUGUGCGAUGCUUUCCCAUGUUCUCCACUCAGUCUGUCACCCAGAUCUUUCUGCCACGGCUAAGGCUUGGUGGUGCUAUGUGCUGCCCUGCAGGCUUCACAUGGCAAGCUGGCUUCUGAAGUCAGGCUGCACCAGUAACAGCAAGCCAGGCAUUGUAAUUAUUUCAUGUAUAACCUGGAUUUUCACUAUGGUGCAUUGUAGGAGUGUAUCCAACUGUGGUGGUGGCCUGACCUUGCUUUUAGAAGUCCACUCUUUGGUAGAGCACUGUAACUUCUCUCAAACCUCCUGCAGGUCAGUGUUGUUGUGGUGUGAGCCUCUGAUCCUGCCUCUGCCAGUCCUUCCUGUCCCCGUCUGUCUGCAGGCACUGGGAGAGUCCUCCCCACACAGGUGCUUCUCUCGUGUGCAUCCUGCUCCAGCCUUCCCACACAGCCGCCAGCCCAGCAGCAUCCAGCCUGGGGAUCAUUCUUCUGCCAGCAGGUCACCAACAACCCCGUUAUACUGGGGUAGCCAUUCAGCUUUUAUUGCCCUGCUGGUAUUCCGUUGUACACUGGCCACAUCCUCCUCCUGAGGUGCCCAAGUCUGAAUUGACCCCACAGAUUUUGGGGACCCGUGUGCUAUUGAUCCUGAAAAAACAGGGAAGAGCCCCCUCAGCCCCUGCUAACGAAGCCUCCUCCCGCGGAACCCGGCCGUGUCGGUGCCCCAGCAGCAGCCCCACGGCCUGUCGCGGACACGCGUGUGCCCGUGGCGCUGAGCGAGCGGCCUGCAGCGGCCUCGGCGCCUUCCGUGGGCUCGGGCUGGCCCCUGGCGGCCGCCGGGGCGCGAUGCAGCCCUGCUGGGCCGGCCGCAGCGCAUCGGCCCCGGCACCGCCUGGAGCCCAGCCUCAGCCCCUAGGCCUGCCCCGGCUCUUCCCAGUGAAUCGGAGUUCUCUACCCCCCCGCAUAGCUCAGUGGACACGGGCUUUCGGAGCAAGCUCGCGGUUGUAGGAAGGGAGAACCUGUUUUCUGAUUCAUGGGCGUCACAGAAUCAUUAGGGUCAGAGAAGCCCUCUAAGAUCAUCUGGUCCAACCGUCCUGCUACCACCACCAUCACCCACUGAGCCAUGUCCCCAAGCACCAUGUCCAGCCUUCCCUUGAACACCCCCAGGGACGGUGACUCCACCACCUCCCUGGGCAACCCGUCCCAGUGCCUGACUGCUCUUUCUGAGCAGAAAUGUCUCCUCAUUUCCAGCCUGAACCUCCCCUGCCACAACUUGAGGCCAUUCCCUCUGGUCCUAUCACUGGUUACCUGUGAGAAGAGGCUGACCCCCAGCUCCCCACAGCUUCCUUUCAGGUAGCUGCAGAGAGCAAUGAGGUCUCCCCUGAGCCCCCUCUUCUCCAGACCAAACACCCCCAGCCGCUCCUCAAAGUAAUUGUGCUCCAGGCCCUUCACCAGCUUCAUAGCCCUGCUCUGGACACUCUCCAGGGCCUUGGUGUCCUUCUUGUAGUGAGGGGCCCAAAACUGAACACAGCACUUGAUGUGCAGCUUCACCAGAGCUGAGUACGGUGGGACGAUCACUUCCCUGCUCCUGCUGGCUGCACUAUUGCUGACACAAGCCAGGGUGCUGUUGGCCUUCUUGGACACGUGGGCACACUGCUGGCUCAUGUUCAGGUGAGCAUUAAUCAGCACCCCCAGAUCCCUUUCCUCUGCAAAGGACAUCUCUGUGUCCUUGAGGUGACAGCAUCUGCAGCAUUCAGGGGACUCACAGAAACAUUGCAGCCACUGCGCUGCUCCCCACUGAGCCCUGGCAGCCCAGCUGCAGCAGGGUGGAUGUGGCCGAGGAAGCCCAAGGUGCUUCCCAUGCUUCCCAUCACUUGCUGGGAGAGGACGAUGCUCCCCAACAGCAACUCAAGGAGCCACCUGACAGCCAUGGGCUGGAUAUGGCCAAGGGCAGAGGAUCAUUUUCCAGUGCUAUGGUGAGGUCUCUUUGAGAUGGUGUUUUCAGUGUUAGACAGAUUAAGCUCUGUCCUGUGUGUGUCACCAGCAUAGAGGUUGCUGGUCCCUAUGGAGCUGCAUUUUCAGGGGAAAACACUAAGCUUUGAGACUUACUUCCUUAGGUAUUCAAAAGAGGUAAGGUUGUGGGGUCAGCAGGAUGCCAGCAUCUCCUCUCUUGCAAACUUUUGGGAGUGAGUGUGGUGGUAGCAGGGUGGUUAUUUUGUAAUGUAUAUGUGCUUGGAGGAGGGUAACAGGCCUAAAAAGAAAAAUCAACAAUCAAAGAACGUACAAUUGUGAGAAGUGGAAAACUUGUAGAAGGUACCAGAACACUGCAGCAUUUUUGUACAUGCAGACCUUAGCAGUGAAUGCAGAACAUCCUCUGUGUACAAAAGAAAGCAGCUAAACAUGCAUGAUAGAUGUGCUGUGCUUUUGUGGGCAUGGGCCACGUGAAAUCAGGCGCAUGAGCUGCUGGUCCUUUAGGGUGUUUAGCUGCAUUAGCUCCCUUCUCAGACUCGAGGUUUUUACAGACAUUAUAAAAGGUGAUGACAUUAAUGUAUGCUGCUCAGAACUUGACAUUCCUCCUGCAAUGCUGUCCCUUUUAUAAAGCACCAAGUACUUCAAAGAAGUGGAAAACAAUAUAUCUUGCUCAGAAAUGAACUGCCUGGAUGGAAAGCACUGUCAGCAAAAAUUGUUUUAUUUCCUGCAUACAAAACCAUUAACCUCUUAAAUGAUAGGAGAUACAAACCGUGAACAAUAAAAGAUACCAAAGGAAGGGUGUGGUCCCUGCC
This 2766-nucleotide long non-coding RNA is filed under the name Anas platyrhynchos platyrhynchos (common mallard). RNAcentral describes it as "lncRNA (ENSAPLG00000028863.1)". The record is from RNAcentral. Lineage: Eukaryota; Metazoa; Chordata; Aves; Anseriformes; Anatidae.